AAUAUACUCCCUCCGUUCGGAAUUACUUGUCGAAGAAAUGAAUGUAUCUAGACGUAUUUUAGUUCUAGAUACAUCCAUUUUCGAGACAAGUAAUUCCGAACGGAGGGAGUAAAAG
This is a non-coding RNA of Triticum aestivum (bread wheat), 115 nucleotides long. The record is from Rfam. Lineage: Eukaryota; Viridiplantae; Streptophyta; Magnoliopsida; Poales; Poaceae.